GAACGAACGCUGGCGGCAGGCCUAACACAUGCAAGUCGAACGCCCGUAGCAAUACGGGAGUGGCAGACGGGUGAGUAACGCGUGGGAACGUGCCCUUCGGUUCGGAAUAACUCAGGGAAACUUGAGCUAAUACCGGAUACGUCCGUAAGGAGAAAGAUUUAUCGCCGAAGGAUCGGCCCGCGUCGGAUUAGCUAGUUGGUGGGGUAACGGCCCACCAAGGCGACGAUCCGUAGCUGGUCUGAGAGGAUGAUCAGCCACACUGGGACUGAGACACGGCCCAGACUCCUACGGGGAGGCAGCAGUGGGGAAUAUUGGACAAUGGGCGAAGCCUGACCCAGCCAUGCCGCGUGAGUGAAGAAGGCCUUAGGGUUGUAAAGCUCUUUCAGCGGGGAAGAUAAUGACGGUACCCGCAGAAGAAGCCCCGG
Molecule: ribosomal RNA, 425 nt
Filed under: uncultured bacterium
Lineage: Bacteria
Description: bacterial SSU rRNA
Rfam family: Bacterial small subunit ribosomal RNA
Source: RNAcentral